This 253-nucleotide ribosomal RNA is filed under the name uncultured bacterium. RNAcentral describes it as "partial 16S ribosomal RNA". It matches the Rfam family "Bacterial small subunit ribosomal RNA", at positions 524 to 776 of the family's 1533-position model. The record is from RNAcentral.
UACAGAGGUCCCAAGCGUUGUUCGGAUUCAUUGGGCGUAAAGGGUGCGUAGGUGGCGCCGUAAGUCGGGUGUGAAAUUUCGGAGCUUGACUCCGAAACUGCAUUCGAUACUGCGGUGCUUGAGGACUGGAGAGGAGACUGGAAUUCAUGGUGUAGCAGUGAAAUGCGUAGAGAUCAUGAGGAAGACCAGUGGCGAAGGCGGGUCUCUGGACAGUUCCUGACACUGAGGCACGAAGGCCAGGGGAGCAAACGGG